RNAcentral lists this ribosomal RNA (1440 nucleotides) under metagenome. Its description in RNAcentral is "bacterial SSU rRNA". It matches the Rfam family "Bacterial small subunit ribosomal RNA". The record is from RNAcentral.
AGAGUUUGAUCCUGGCUCAGAACGAACGCUGGCGGCAUGGAUUAGGCAUGCAAGUCGUACGUGAAGCAUUUUAAUGAUUCUUCGGAUGAAAUGAGAUGUGGAAAGUGGCGUAAGGGUGAGUAACACGUGGGUAAUGUACCUUCACGCUGGGGAUAACUUCGCGAAAGCGAAGCUAAUACCGAAUGCGAUUGAAGUAACUUCGGUUAUUUCAAUUAAAGGUGGGGACCUUCGGGCCUGCCGUGUGAAGAUCAGCCCGCGCCCUAUUAGCUUGUUGGUGAGGUAAUGGCUCACCAAGGCGACGAUGGGUAGCCGACCUGAGAGGGUGACCGGCCACACUGGGACUGAGACACUGCCCAGACUCCUACGGGAGGCUGCAGUCGAGAAUCGUUCGCAAUAGGCGAAAGCCUGACGACGCAAUGCCGCGUGUAUGAAGAAGGCCUUCGGGUUGUAAAAUACUUUGAGCAGGGAAGAAAGCUUGUCCGUUAAUAGCGGAUUAAGUUUGACGGUACCUGCAGAACAAGCCCCGGCUAAAUUCGUGCCAGCAGCCGCGGUAAUACGAAUGGGGCAAGCGUUGUUCGGAUUAACUGGGCGUAAAGGGGGUCUAGGUGGUUUACUAAGUUUCCUGUGAAAAUCCGGGGCUCAACUCUGGAAUUGCAGGGAAAACUAUUAAACUAGAGUGUGCGAGAUGCGUGCGGAAUACUGGGUGUAGCGGUGAAAUGCGUAGAUAUCCAGUAGAACACCAGCGGCGAAAGCGGCACGCAUGCGCAAUACUGACACUCAAGCCCGAAAGCGUGGGGAGCGAACAGGAUUAGAUACCCUGGUAGUCCACGCUGUAAACGAUGUGCACUAGAUGUGGGUGGUAUCGACCCUACCCGUGUCGUAGCUAACGCGUUAAGUGCACCGCCUGGGGAGUACUGUCGCGAGGCAGAAACUCAAAGGAAUUGACGGGGACCCGCACAAGCGGUGGAGCAUGUUCACUAAUACGAAGCAACGCGUAGAACCUUACCAGGGCUUGACAUGUAGCUGCAAAUCUCAUGAAAGUGAGACUCCUUCGAGGGUGCUACACAGGUGUUGCAUGGCUGUCGUCAGCUCGUGCCGUGAGGUGUUGGGUUAAGUCCCGCAACGAGCGCAACCCCUAUUGUUAGUUGCCAUCUCUCGUUUAUCGAGAAGGCACUCUAGCGAGACUGCCGGUGACAAACCGGAGGAAGGUGGGGACGACGUCAAGUCAGUACGGCCCUUAUGCCCUGGGCUUGAAACGUGCUACAAUGGCCGAUACAAUGGGUCGCAAUCCCGCGAGGGGGAGCUAAUCUCAAAAAGUCGGCCUCAGUUCGGAUCGGAGUCUGCAAUUCGACUCCGUGAAGUUGGAAUCGCUAGUAAUGGCGCAUCAGCUACGGCGCCGUGAAUACGUUCCCGGGUCUUGUACGCACCGCCCGUCACACC